CAACCACCACCUGAAAAUAGGAAAAAAAAUUAUGUAUAGGAUUUGGUACUACCUGAGGUUUCAGGCAUCCACUGGGGGUCUUGGAAUGUAUCCCCUAUGGUUAAGGGAGAAUGACUACAAACCAACGAACUGCUACUUAGCAAGAGGAAGGCAUCAGGGCAGUAGCUCCUCUGGGAAUAGUAAAGCACUUCUUUCUCCUGCUGCCCUGUGAAGAAGGACGUGUUUGCAUCCCCUUCCACCAUGAUUGUGAGUUUCCUGAGGCCUUCCCAGCCAUGUGGAACUGUGAGUCAAUUAAACCACUUUCCUUUAUUAAUUACCCAGUCCCAGUUAUUUCUUCACAGCAGUGUGAGAACGGACUAGCACAGUUUCCUUCCCUGGUUUGCAAAGUCUCGGUCUCCUCCAUGGUCAAGUAUCUGGUAACUCACCAGACUCUGAGUUUCCUUUCCACAUCAGAAUCUUGACUUGUUUUCUCAAGAUACAUGUGCUCGUUAAUUUCAGGUGUCAAAGUGACUGGAUUUAGGGAUGUCCAGUAGCUGGUGAAGCACUGUUUCUGUGUUUGUGUGUAAGGGUGUUUCCAUGGGUCAGUGAACUGGGAGAGGAAAAUCCCCUCAAUGCUGGCACAACAACCAGACAGCAGGGGGCCAGGCCGGCACAAAUAGGCAGAAGAAGGGGGACUCACUCUGUUUUCUCUCUCCUUUCCAGAGCAGGAUAUUUUUUCUCUUCCUGCCUUUGGACAUCAGACUCCCAGGUCCUUUGGCUUUUGGACUCUGGGACUUGUCCCAGCAACAUUCCAGGGGGUCCUUGAGCCUACAUUGUUGGCUUUUCUCAUUCUGAGGCUUUGGACUUGGACUGGGCCACGCUACCAGCUUCUCUGGUUCUCCGGCCUGCAGUUGUCCUAACCUGGGACUUCUCCACCUCUGUGACCAUCCAUGUAAGACGAGCCCGCUUCCCCUUUGCCUUCCACCAUGAUUUUAAGUUUCCUGAGACCUCCCCAGAAGCCAAGCAGAUGCCAGAAUCAUGCUUUCUGUACAGCCUGUGGAACUGUGAGCCAAUUAAAUUUCUUCUAUUUAUAAAUUACCUAGACUCAGGUAUUUCUUUGUAGCAAUGCAAGAAUGGACUAAUACAACCAUUGUGUGUCUAGUACCUAGAAACCACCAGGCAUA
RNAcentral lists this long non-coding RNA (1163 nucleotides) under Homo sapiens (human). Its description in RNAcentral is "HSALNT0147720". Lineage: Eukaryota; Metazoa; Chordata; Mammalia; Primates; Hominidae. The record is from RNAcentral.